UGGCUCUCGCAUCGAUGAAGAACGCAGCGAAAUGCGAUAAGUAAUGUGAAUUGCAGAAUUCAGUGAAUCAUCGAAUCUUUGAACGCACCUUGCGCUCCUUGGUAUUCCGAGGAGCAUGCCUGUUUGAGUGUCAUUAAAUUCUCAACCAUUCAAGUUUUUAACAAACUUUGACUGGCUUGGAUCGUGGGACUUGUGGGCUUCGAAGGAAGUCAACUGUCCUUAAAUGUAUUAGCGAGGCUCUUGUUACAAACCUCUGGUGUGAUAACUAUCUACGCCGUUGAGAUGUGACAUUUGUGAGCAUAGCUUCUAACCGUCUCCUUCAGACAAUCAUUGACAAUCUGACCUCAAAUCAGGUAGGACUACCCGCUGA
RNAcentral lists this unclassified non-coding RNA (370 nucleotides) under uncultured fungus. RNAcentral's name for it is "partial contains 5.8S ribosomal RNA and internal transcribed spacer 2". The stretch from base 1 to 133 matches the Rfam family "5.8S ribosomal RNA", at positions 22 to 154 of the family's 154-position model. The record is from RNAcentral. Lineage: Eukaryota; Fungi.